GACGAACGCUGGCGGCGUGCUUAACACAUGCAAGUCGAACGGAAAGGCCCUGCUUGCUGGGUGCUCGAGUGGCGAACGGGUGAGUAACACGUGGGUGAUCUGCCCCUUACUUUGGGAUAAGCCUGGGAAACUGGGUCUAAUACUGGAUAGGACCAUGCUGUAGGUGGUGUGGUGGAAAGAUUAGUUUCGGUAAGGGAUGAGCUCGCGGCCUAUCAGCUUGUUGGUGGGGUAAUGGCCUACCAAGGCGUCGACGGGUAGCCGGCCUGAGAGGGUGGACGGCCACAUUGGGACUGAGAUACGGCCCAGAAGCCUGCGGGAGGCAGCAGUGGGGAAUAUUGCAAAAUGGGCGUAAGGCUGAUGCAGCGACGGCGCGUGGGGGAUGACGGCCUUCGGGUUGUAAACACCUUUCGGCCAUGACGAAGCCCUUGUGGUGACGGUAGUGGUAGAAGAAGCACCGGCUAACUACGUG
This 469-nucleotide ribosomal RNA is filed under the name uncultured bacterium. Its description in RNAcentral is "partial 16S ribosomal RNA". It matches the Rfam family "Bacterial small subunit ribosomal RNA", at positions 28 to 507 of the family's 1533-position model. The record is from RNAcentral.